AACUAACUAGGAUUCCCUUAGUAGCGGCGAGCGAACAGGGAAAAGCCCAGCACCGAAUCCCGCGGCCGUCUCGGUCGCCGGGAAAUGUGGUGUUAGGGAGGGUCCGCUAUCCCGAGGUCGCGCGGCGCGUCCAAGUCCUUCUUGAACGGGGCCACUUACCCAUAGAGGGUGCCAGGCCCGUAGUGACUGCCGCCGGCAACGGGAGGAUCUCUCCUCAGAGUCGGGUUGCUUGAGAGUGCAGCCCUAAGUGGGUGGUAAACUCCAUCUAAGGCUAAAUAUGACCACGAGACCGAUAGCGAACAAGUACCGUGAGGGAAAGUUGAAAAGAACUUUGAAGAGAGAGUUCAAUAGUACGUGAAACCGUUCAGGGGUAAACCUGAGAAACCCGAAAUGUCGAAUGUAAAGAUUCAGCGCGUCUCGUCUGUGUGCGAGUGGUGGUUGUGUGACGGCCGGCGUUCGCGUCGACCGCGCCUUCCGCCGCCGAUGCGCGACGAACGCGUGCACUUCUAUACUAGUAGGACGUUGCGACCCGUUGGGUGUCGGUCUAAGGACCGCGGUGGAGACCGAGUGUACGCUUCGGCGUUUCGUUCGGACCCGCGUGUUCCCGACCGGCUCGCUCGACGGUACGACAGUGGCGCGGGGCCGCGAUUAAUUUCGCGUCCGGCCCGUCGCAAGUGCGGACGGUUAUCGGGAUCUCGGACCUAGUGCCGACUCUCGAGCCGUUCGGCUGCUGGCGACGGUGUCCUCGGACAGACUCCGUAUACGCCGGUCGGCGACGAUUUAGCUUUGGGUACUUUCAGGACCCGUCUUGAAACACGGACCAAGGAGUCUAGCAUGUGCGCGAGUCAUUGGGACUUAACGAAACCUAAAGGCGCAAUGAAAGUGAAGGCCGCCUUGCGCGCGCCUAGGGAGGAUGCGCCGGGCUACGGCCUGGCGCCGCACUCCCGGGGCGUCUCGUGCUCAUUGCGAGCUGAGGCGCACCCAGAGCGUACACGCUGGGACCCGAAAGAUGGUGAACUAUGCCUGGUCAGGACGAAUCAGGGAAC
This 1046-nucleotide ribosomal RNA is filed under the name Iratiquedius prostans. Its description in RNAcentral is "partial 28S ribosomal RNA". It matches the Rfam family "Eukaryotic large subunit ribosomal RNA", at positions 63 to 860 of the family's 3401-position model. The record is from RNAcentral. Lineage: Eukaryota; Metazoa; Arthropoda; Insecta; Coleoptera; Staphylinidae.